GGUUGUGUCUCAGAGAUAGAGCACUUGCCUAGCAUGCAUGAGGUCCUGAGUUCAAUCCUCAGCACCA
This 67-nucleotide transfer RNA is filed under the name Marmota marmota marmota (Alpine marmot). It matches the Rfam family "tRNA". Rfam says of the family: Transfer RNA (tRNA) molecules are approximately 80 nucleotides in length. Their secondary structure includes four short double-helical elements and three loops (D, anti-codon, and T loops). Further hydrogen bonds mediate the characteristic L-shaped molecular structure. tRNAs have two regions of fundamental functional importance: the anti-codon, which is responsible for specific mRNA codon recognition, and the 3' end, to which the tRNAs corresponding amino acid is attached (by aminoacyl-tRNA synthetases). tRNAs cope with the degeneracy of the genetic code in two manners: having more than one tRNA (with a specific anti-codon) for a particular amino acid; and 'wobble' base-pairing, i.e. permitting non-standard base-pairing at the 3rd anti-codon position. RNAcentral also lists the same sequence under 2 other names. The record is from Rfam by way of RNAcentral. Lineage: Eukaryota; Metazoa; Chordata; Mammalia; Rodentia; Sciuridae.